GACGGAGGAUGCAAGCGUUAUCCGGAAUGAUUGGGCGUAAAGCGUCCGCAGGUGGCAGUUCAAGGCUGCUGUCAAAAACCGGGGCUUAGCUUCGGAAAGGCAGUGGAAACUGAACAGCUAGAGUAUGGUAGGGGCAGAGGGAAUUCCUGGUGUAGCGGUGAAAUGCGUAGAGAUCAGGAAGAACAUCGGUGGCGAAGGCGCUCUGCUGGACCAUAACUGACACUCAGGGACGAAAGCUAGGGGAGCGAAUGGG
RNAcentral lists this ribosomal RNA (253 nucleotides) under uncultured bacterium. Its description in RNAcentral is "partial 16S ribosomal RNA". It matches the Rfam family "Bacterial small subunit ribosomal RNA", at positions 524 to 776 of the family's 1533-position model. The record is from RNAcentral.